AAGAAUGGCCAUGACCUAAUACGUCAUGGAUUGACUUAACCCGGAGAGGAAGCAGUGGCUAACUCUGUGCCAGCAGCCGCGGUAAUACAGAGACUGCAAGCGUUAUUCGGAUUCACUGGGCGUAAAGGGUGCGCAGGCGGUUAUGUGUGUUAGGUGUGAAAGCCCGAGGCUCAACCUCGGAAUUGCGCCUAAAACUACAUGACUAGAGUACCGGAGAGGAUAGCGGAAUUCACGGUGUAGCAGUGAAAUGCGUAGAUAUCGUGAAGAACACCAGCGGCGAAGGCGGCUAUCUGGAAGGUAACUGACGCUCAGGCACGAAAGCGUGGGGAGCAAAAGGGAUUAGAUACCCCUGUAGUCCACGCCCUAAACGGUGCACACUAGGUGUUAGCGGAUUCGACCCCGUUAGCGCCCAAGCUAACGCGUUAAGUGUGCCGCCUGAGGACUACGGCCGCAAGGCUAAAACUCAAAGGAAUUGACGGGGG
This 482-nucleotide ribosomal RNA is filed under the name uncultured bacterium. Its description in RNAcentral is "bacterial SSU rRNA". It matches the Rfam family "Bacterial small subunit ribosomal RNA", at positions 445 to 919 of the family's 1533-position model. The record is from RNAcentral.